AACGCACACGUUAGAUCACCUCACCACAUUCCUGCAAGGAUGAAGACAUCCUGUGAAUACUCCAAUCCUCAAACCAAACGUUCAUUCACAUUUUUACAGACAUAUAAAGUAUCUGAAGUCCCACUCACCUUCCUGCAAGUGAACACAACACAUGGUAUCACCGGGGCAUGUGAAGAGAAAGAAGAAGAGCAUCCAUGAUUGUGUGAGAUCCAGAGCCGGUGGGAGGCCCGUCAUUGGCCAGCCAGCCGAGGGGGGUAAAACUGACAAGCUAGGAGCCAGUCAGAUGUGUGUUGAAGACCACGGGAGGGAAGAUGUGCUGAAGACGCGGUGGAUCCAAUCUCUCUGUUCACGGACACUCUGAAACUGCAUAACCACAUGAAAACCGUUGGAACGUCCACACACUCCGCACACACACACACACACACACACACCUACACACACACACACACACACACACACAAUAAAGCGAUGCUUUCCAGAUGACAUGCCACUUAUGCAACAAAUCCAUAAUAUCUCAUCCUGCAACUUAUUGACUAAUAUGAGUUUUCCAUUUGCACAAUAUGAAAGUAUAUGAGCUGCUUCAGAAGUUAAUAUCAUGCACAUUUCACACGUAGAACGUGCAAACGUGUGCAUGUUCACAGGUUUACGUGUGAGUGCGUCUCUUGCUGCGUGUACGUGGGUGACUGCGUCAGGUUCAUUUUUGCCGCGGUGACUUUCUCGAGUCUUAAUAUUGUUUCCGUGUACGUUUCCGAGUAUGAACAUUGGACAGAGUUGACAUGCAUAAAACACGCACACGGGUCUCGUUCAUUGACAGCGGAUGGGAGUUAGGAGAGCGGGAGCUCGGAGGAGUCGUACGGACAUUUUGAGCGGUGUAGGAGUGUGUUGGAGAGGUCUUUGCAUAUUUCGGGAUCUAUGAAAAGAUGAAGCGGAUACCCUGAGAGACUCAAAGCGAGGGAAAGUGAGAAGGGGAUAAAGACAUUGAGAGAUGGGUGAUGACAGCUAAUCAGAUAGGCGUGAAAGACGGAGUCAAGGUGAAUGUUCCUCCACUAAUUCUCCACUUUCACUAUAAGGUUAUUUCACUUUUUUAUAGUCAUGUGACACAGAGAGAACUGUGGCAAAUUGAAU
Molecule: non-coding RNA, 1125 nt
Organism: Doryrhamphus excisus (bluestripe pipefish)
Lineage: Eukaryota; Metazoa; Chordata; Actinopteri; Syngnathiformes; Syngnathidae
Source: RefSeq, a predicted model, not a curated record